AGUGGCGGACGGGUGAGUAACGCGUGAGAAUCUGCCUUGGGGUCGGGGACAACCACUGGAAACGGUGGCUAAUACCGGAUAAGCCGAUUGGUGAAAGAUUUAUUGCCCGAAGAGGAGCUCGCGUCUGAUUAGCUAGUUGGUGAGGUAAGAGCUCACCAAGGCAGCGAUCAGUAGCUGGUCUGAGAGGACGAUCAGCCACACUGGGACUGAGACACGGCCCAGACUCCUACGGGAGGCAGCAGUGGGGAAUUUUCCGCAAUGGGCGAAAGCCUGACGGAGCAAGACCGCGUGAGGGAGGAAGGCUCUUGGGUUGUAAACCUCUUUUCUCAGGGAAGAAGCUCUGACAGUACCUGAGGAAUCAGCCUCGGCUAACUCCGUGCCAGCAGCCGCGGUAAUACGGAGGAGGCAAGCGUUAUCCGGAAUUAUUGGGCGUAAAGCGUCCGCAGGUGGCGAUUCAAGUCUGCUGUCAAAGCACGGGGCUUAACUCCGUAAAGGCAGUGGAAACUGAAUAGCUAGAGUGCCGUAGGGGUAGAGGAAUUCCCGGUGUAGCGGUGAAAUGCGUAGAGAUCGGGAAGAACAUCGGUGGCGAAAGCGCUCUACUGGACGGCAACUGACACUCAGGGACGAAAGCUAGGGGAGCGAAUGGGAUUAGAUACCCC
This 659-nucleotide ribosomal RNA is filed under the name uncultured bacterium. Its description in RNAcentral is "bacterial SSU rRNA". It matches the Rfam family "Bacterial small subunit ribosomal RNA", at positions 94 to 788 of the family's 1533-position model. The record is from RNAcentral.